Molecule: ribosomal RNA, 750 nt
Filed under: Daptonema amphorum
Lineage: Eukaryota; Metazoa; Nematoda; Chromadorea; Monhysterida; Xyalidae
Description: partial large subunit ribosomal RNA
Rfam family: Eukaryotic large subunit ribosomal RNA
Source: RNAcentral
UGCAAAGAACUUUGAAGAGAGAGUUCAAGAGGACGUGAAACCGCUUGGAAGGAAACGCAUAGAGCUGCGAAAUGCUUGACCGAUUCAGGCUCGGACUAGGUAAAAGUGCGAUUGGUUUGAUCGAAAGACUGCCUUUUGUGCUCUCUGCCUAAGUCUUGGUUGCAUUUUGGUCGAGUUGCAUCAGCUGUCAUGGUCAUACCAAUGCUGCCUUCUGGUUGAAGGUGCUGUCGUAAGACGGUUAUCGGACAGGGGCGUAGCAUUAGUGUUCGGUCACGAUAUUGUUGUGGAGGCGCACGUGCGAAUUGCGUGUACGGUGGGUCCAGACAGGGUGACGUGCUUGCACGAAAGUCUGGCUGCGAUCUAUCGCCGUGCGUUUAUCGCCUUUCACGCAAGCUGGUGAACAAGUCAGUUACCUAUUCGACCCGUCUUGAAACACGGACCAAGGAGUCUAACAUGUAUGCGAGUUGUAGGGUGUAAAACCUGAAAGCGCAAUGAAAGUGAAGCUUAGCGAUACAGGACUCGGUCGUCAUUGGCCGAAGCACUGUAGCCCCGUUCUAUUUGCUUGUCAAAGGAGCGGCGGUAGAGCAUACACGUUGGGACCCGAAAGAUGGUGAACUUCGCUUGAUCAGGGCGAAGCCAGGGGAAACUCUGGUGGAGGCUCGAAACUGUCCUGACGUGCAAAUCGGUAGUCAGAAUUGAGUGAAGGGGCGAAAGACUAAUCGAACCAUCUAGUAGCUGGUUUCCUUCGCA